RNAcentral lists this ribosomal RNA (484 nucleotides) under uncultured bacterium. Its description in RNAcentral is "partial 16S ribosomal RNA". It matches the Rfam family "Bacterial small subunit ribosomal RNA", at positions 30 to 507 of the family's 1533-position model. The record is from RNAcentral.
AUUGAACGCUGGCGGCAGGCCUAACACAUGCAAGUCGAGCGGAAGAAGGAAACUUGUUCCUGUCUUCAGCGGGGGACGGGUGAGUGAGGCCUAGGUAUCUGACUGGUCUUGAGGGAUGAGGUCAGGUAACGGAAGCGGAUACCAAAUCCGUACAGAGUGGGAAAGUCAGGGAUCUUCGGCCCUCACGCUAUUAGCUGAGCCUAGGUCGGGUUAGCUAGUUGGUGGGGUAAGGGCCUACCAAGGCGACGAUCCGUAGCUGGUCUGAGAGGAUGAUCAGCCACACUGGAACUGAGACACGGUCCAGACUCCUACGGGAGGCAGCAGUGGGGAAUAUUGCACAAAGGGCGAAAGCCUGAUGCAGCCAUGCCGCGUGUGUGAAGAAGGUCUUCGGAUUGUAAAGCACUUUUAGUUGGGAGGAAGGGAAGUAAGUUAAUACCUUGCUGUUUUGACGUUACCAACAGAAUAAGCACCGGCUAACUUCGUG